AUGGGAAAGCGGGAGGAGAGGGAGAAAGAUGAGGGCGGUGUCAGCCAGAGGAUGAAGGUCGGGGCGGCGGGCCCCAUCUUCACCAUCGACGACCUCGACUGCUCCAUCUGCUGCCACCCCAUGCGCCCUCCCAUUUUCCAGUACACUGUGGGUCAUACCAUAUGUUCGUCUUGCCAUGACAAGCUCCCAGGCAAGUGCUACUUCUUCUCCCUUCCCACAGUCUACAACCGCUGCAACUGGCUAGAAUAUGUGGUUGAAUCCCUCAAAGUUGCUUGCCCCAAUGGAUGCACUGUGAGUAUAAAAUACUACCAAAAAGUAGAGCAUGAGAAAGAAUGUUUGCAUGCACCAUGCUUCUGUCCCAUAGCCAACUGCGGCUUCAGUGGACCAACUGCAAUGCUCCUGGAGCAUUUCUCAUCCCAGCACAACUUGCGCUCCCUGGAAGUUCCAUACAGCGAGUGGUUUGGGAUAUAUAUGCACGUCAAUGUUGAUCCUCCCACGUCAGCAACCGCUCUUGUGGGUCAGGAUGGACACAUUUUCCUGGUCUGCAUGAAGUUGGAGUCCUCCGGUGGUGUCAUCAAGGUCUGCUGCGUCCAGCCUCACAAUACUGGAAUUAAGUUCAAGUGCGCGCUGGCAUUGUCAUGCACUAAAACCGGCUACUCCCAGGCUACGGAGUUCCAAACGAGGAACACUAAUCUGUAUGAUGGGCUUCCCGAUGAUGGCUUCCCGUUCCUUGUGCCUAAGGUGUUGCUUCCAGCUGCCGGUACAAGUGGCACAAUCGUAGUGCAUAUGGAACUCACACCACAAUAG
RNAcentral lists this ribosomal RNA (807 nucleotides) under Triticum aestivum (bread wheat). RNAcentral's name for it is "partial small subunit ribosomal RNA". The record is from RNAcentral. Lineage: Eukaryota; Viridiplantae; Streptophyta; Magnoliopsida; Poales; Poaceae.